UACGUAGGGUGCAAGCGUUAAUCGGAAUACUGGGCGUAAAGCGUGCGCAGGCGGCUAUGCAAGACAGAUGUGAAAUCCCCGGGCUCAACCUGGGAACUGCAUUUGUGACUGCAUGGCUAGAGUACGGUAGAGGGGAUGGAAUUCCGCGUGUAGCAGUGAAAUGCGUAGAUAUGCGGAGGAACACCGAUGGCGAAGGCAAUCCCCUGACCUGUACUGACGCUCAUGCACGAAAGCGUGGGGAGCAACAGG
Molecule: ribosomal RNA, 249 nt
Filed under: uncultured bacterium
Lineage: Bacteria
Description: partial 16S ribosomal RNA
Rfam family: Bacterial small subunit ribosomal RNA
Source: RNAcentral